CCUGUUUCAGACCCUUCCAGAUCUGAUUUUUGGCCAUUGGUUUCUGAUCCAAGUUCUGCAGUUGAGGGAGAAAGAACAGUAGGAGAAUUCUCCAUGCCACUGAUUGUUUCCGUGUCUGCAUUUAUUGACAGAUGAGCUUCUCAAAAGGAGUAGAGCCUCACCAGCAACUCCAGAUUCAGAUGCAACAGCAAUUUCCACUGUGAACUGUGUAUCCUCAUUGCCAGGGCCCGUUUCAAGCUUAUCAGGAUCGUUUCGACAAAAGAUAUUAAUCUUCAUGCCAUCUUCCACUUGUGCAGCAUUGUUUUUCUGCAGAAAUGACAGUGGCAUCAUAAAUGAUUACUGAUAUAAUAUAUAUAUGAAUAAUGUAUCACGAAAGAACAUACGGGAUUUCAACUUACAUCCGA
Molecule: non-coding RNA, 404 nt
Organism: Punica granatum (pomegranate)
Lineage: Eukaryota; Viridiplantae; Streptophyta; Magnoliopsida; Myrtales; Lythraceae
Source: RefSeq, a predicted model, not a curated record